Molecule: long non-coding RNA, 604 nt
Filed under: Homo sapiens (human)
Lineage: Eukaryota; Metazoa; Chordata; Mammalia; Primates; Hominidae
Description: HSALNT0290814
Source: RNAcentral
ACGUAAAAGAAAUUGGAGAGGGCGGGGAAGGGGUGUCUGUCAUGAGCUAGAAAGUUAGUCUUCUUUCCAAAUAAGGAAAGGAAUGUGAGCUGGUACUGAUAACCCCUGGUACUGUGGUGUGCCUGGGCAUCUAACAAAGGCAAAAAGGAGAAAAAGGGGUACUAUGAAUUAAAGAAUAAAAGAUGGAUCAGAUUAUUUGAAGAGAAACCUCAUCAUAUCCCACAACGGGAACAGGAAAAAAAAAACACACAAUACAUUUUAGAGAAGUGGCAAGACAAAGGAAAGCAGGUUUAGGCUCCCAAAGGAGGGACCUCUGAGAAGUUACCUCCACGAAGCAGCUCGGCUGGUGCCAGAGAGAACAUCGGUACAGGUCUGGGAAUUUCCCUGGGAGCUGGCCCCAAGCCACAGCCCUCCCCAGCUCCGUAGUUUGUUUGUUCUUCCUCUCCUGGGCUCAAUCAUCUGGACAAGCCUCACUGCAGGGAAAACCCCUGGGGAGACACAGGGCUGCUUUCCCAGCAGAAGGUCAGUGUCUGAAGAGAAACUGGGGGUCCCCCAGGGACCAGAUUCGGCUCCGGUGGUAAGGUGCCCCAGGUGGCCCAGGAGG